This 468-nucleotide ribosomal RNA is filed under the name uncultured bacterium. RNAcentral describes it as "partial 16S ribosomal RNA". It matches the Rfam family "Bacterial small subunit ribosomal RNA", at positions 28 to 507 of the family's 1533-position model. The record is from RNAcentral.
GACGAACGCUGGCGGCGUGCUUAACACAUGCAAGUCGAACGGAAAGGCCCUGCUUUUGUGGGGUGCUCGAGUGGCGAACGGGUGAGUAACACGUGAGUAACCUGCCCUUGACUUCGGGAUAACUUCAGGAAACUGGGGCUAAUACCGGAUAGGAGCUCCUGCUGCAUGGUGGGGGUUGGAAAGUUUCGGCGGUUGGGGAUGGACUCGCGGCUUAUCAGCUUGUUGGUGGGGUAGUGGCUUACCAAGGCUUUGACGGGUAGCCGGCCUGAGAGGGUGACCGGCCACAUUGGGACUGAGAUACGGCCCAGACUCCUACGGGAGGCAGCAGUGGGGAAUAUUGCACAAUGGGCGGAAGCCUGAUGAAGCAACGCCGCGUGCGGGAUGACGGCCUUCGGGUUGUAAACCGCUUUCGCCUGUGACGAAGCGUGAGUGACGGUAAUGGGUAAAGAAGCACCGGCUAACUACGUG